RNAcentral lists this ribosomal RNA (169 nucleotides) under Rubus hirsutus. RNAcentral's name for it is "5.8S ribosomal RNA". It matches the Rfam family "5.8S ribosomal RNA". Rfam says of the family: 5.8S ribosomal RNA (5.8S rRNA) is a component of the large subunit of the eukaryotic ribosome. It is transcribed by RNA polymerase I as part of the 45S precursor that also contains 18S and 28S rRNA. Functionally, it is thought that 5.8S rRNA may be involved in ribosome translocation. The record is from RNAcentral. Lineage: Eukaryota; Viridiplantae; Streptophyta; Magnoliopsida; Rosales; Rosaceae.
UGGCUAAACGACUCUCGGCAACGGAAAUCUCGGCUCUCGCAUCGAUGAAGAACGGAGCGAAAAGCGAAACUUGGUUUUAAUUUCAAAAACCCGUUAACCAACGAAUCUUUUAACCCAAAUUUCCCCCCAAACCAUUAGGCCCAGGGCACCCCUUCCUGGGCGUCAAACG